Molecule: long non-coding RNA, 4262 nt
Filed under: Triticum aestivum (bread wheat)
Lineage: Eukaryota; Viridiplantae; Streptophyta; Magnoliopsida; Poales; Poaceae
Description: long non-coding RNA (TAES_LNC011814)
Source: RNAcentral
AUAGACAAAAAGAAUGCAAUACACAUGAAUAGAUAAUCCCCAUGGCUAAUGGCAGAGCUUUGUUGCAUCUAGCUUCACCCGUUUACUGAAAGUAGAACUUCUCAGUUUGGGCUGAUGUUUAAAUGUUCACCAUUUUGGCCUACAUCAGAAUACUGAGAACAAAACAAUAUUUGCUUAUUAAAGCAUAACACACAACACCUCUUGUGCUAUAGGAGAACACAUAAAGAAAGGGGAAAUUGGACAUAGAAUCGCCAAGUAGGUGAACUGAAAAGCACACAUAACAUGUACUGAAAAAGAACACAACAUCCUUAGCGCUGCGUCGACCACCUGUGGCAAAGGUGAACGGCUUGCGUUGGUAGAGGUGAACAGCUUGAUCGCUGCAUCGUCGCACGACCUCGUGUGGCGGAAGUGAACGGCUUGUGGUGGCAAGGGUGAACGGCUUGAGCGUUGCGUCAUCGAAUGACCUUGUGUGGAAGCAGUGAACGGCCUGGGCCUUGAAGGUUCAAGCAGUGGUGUUGAGAGGUUGUGUGGGACUAUAUUUGUAGUGUCUGAAUAAGUUCAGUAGCUGCUCACCAUGCACACCUACUCAACUGCUUCAUGCCGUCGUCCCUACACACACACAACAGCCACCAAUUAGCAUGCACAAGUUCAUGUAAAAAGAACAACAAUUUCAUGUACAGUAACAUUACAUGUUCACAACGAAACCUAAAAAUAUGUGUACUUUGAAAUACUUCAUUUUACUUCCCAAAUACUUCAUUUUAAAAAAAAUAUGAACUUCUAUAUUUAUUUUCGUAGAACUUAUUAUGUAUUCCCUCCAAACUACAAGAACAUGAUUUGUUUAUUUACCCACAAAAUAUUUUAUUCAAAUAGUUUCCAAAUACUUUCUUUUUUUAUAAGAGAACUAAUGGAAAUCUUGACUGUGCACUUCGGUAUUUUAUUCAGGUGAACUAAUGUACUUGCAAAGUUAACUCAUUCUGGUCCUUUUUUCAUACUGAACUGAUGUAGCCUCUAUACAAUGUAAAAUGGAUAUUGUUGUGAUUACCUACAUGCUGAACUAGUUAAUAUAUUUGCUUUUUUGUUGUGUAUUUCUAUUUAAUUAGACAAAUGGUUGAUUGGCGGUAUUACCACCACAAUUUUCACUAUAUAUACAUUACUGAUCUGAACGCAACAAUAAGAAUAGGCUGCCAAUUUUUUCUGUAAAGUUGCAUGCCUAAAAUGUAGAGAUUAGGGAAGUACCAGGAGACAAACUAAUUUAUUUAGGAAGUAAUUAGAAUAAAGAGCUUUUUAGGAUUACUUAGGGAGUGAAUGCAAGCUUAUUUAGAACAUGCUAUCAAGAAUUCAGCAAGGGGAAUGGAUGUUCUUCAAGAGAAUUCAGGGAAGAGAGCGAGGGGAAACCUUGGCGGCAGCAAUCUGAAGUUGCGGCGACAAAUAUGAAAAUGGGCUUGACCUCAUCGGAGCAUAGGGACUAGGCCAAAGAACUCACCACAGCCAUGUUCGCACCGGCCGUCAACCAUUGGCAGGGAGAUGUAGGCCUUAGCGGCUUGAGACGUCUGAACCUGCAAAACUGGUGACUGAACUGCUAACCCAGGCACACGAACGCAUUCGUUUACCAGUUAAUGCAUCCAUCUCGUUAUUCAAGAAUUACCUUUUAUUGUAUGAACUGCUAACGAAUUAUUUUUUUGCUCAACUGGGGUAGACUUCUGGUUAGUACACGCACAACCUGAGAAGGCAAUGUACAAGUUCUUGUAAAAAGAACAACCAAAGAAGCAGCACUAAUUGCUAGAGAAAAUUGUAUGUGCUUUUUUUAUGAACUGAAAAAAGCUCUUGUUUGUUAGAGAACUGAAGAAAUAAAUAUUGGGGCCCGCUGUAAUGCAUAUAUCCACAAAUUCAGACACCAAAACCAAAGAAAAUAAUAGAACAUAAAUUAGAGAAUGUUAAAUUUCACAUGUCUCAGUUUUUAGCAUCACUUCUAAACCUUUUGUUUUUUACUGCUAUCUAAUCUUCAACAAAUUAUCUAGUUUACUUAUCGUUCUUGUCAAAAGUAAUCAACAUGAAUGAUCUUCACUAGUCACCAUUUUACUCAAACCAUCACACUCAUAUGAGCUUUCUAUUCAAGAUUUCAUGUCCUAUCUUCUUCUAAAAAAAUUGAGGACUUGAACCACAUUUUUUGGAAGCUAUACUGAAAAGCUACCACAUAUACUAGUUUACGGCAAGUAGCUUUCGAACAAAACAUAAUUGAAAGUUGCAAGCAUUUGAAUAGGAGGAAGUCCAACUCAGCUGGAAGCAUAAGGUCAAUCAGUGCAUCAGAAUAAGUACACUCAGCUGCAAGCAUAAGGUCAACCAGAGCAUCAAAAUUGAUGUUUUCCAAUAUUCUUAUUUUUUCAAACUUUCCCAAUUUUCACCGUAUGAACUUCAAGGUUUUUGUUUAUUGAAUUUUCUGGGUUUCCCCAAUUGUACUCUCUUACAGGAUUGCUGUGAGAUAGUGGCGUCGAUGGACUUAGAGGACUACCAUCGGCGCUCAACUUGGAUGGCUGCCAGCAACCAAGGUGGACAGGCUAGUGGUGGUGCCUUAUUUUUUUGUAAAUCAAAGCUCCUACAUUAUGCUAUACUUUCAUGCAGUUCUUCACUCAAACAAUAUUGUAACAACCAACAUAAAAUAGUUUGGGAAAAUCUCUCAUGUUAUCUUAAUUUAUGUAGUGUUGUCCGCAACAGAAAAUUGUGCUACAAAUUGUGUUAGACCAUUCCGCAGUAAUGCCCAGAAAUCCAACAAAGAAUAUGUUAGUACAAUGGAAGUAGUACAAAUGGGAGAACCAUACAUGCGAAAGACUCAUUUCAGAGAGGAACAAAAUAGUGUCAGAAUUAUUAUUUUCCCUACAUGCUACAUUUGCAUCAGAAGAAAAUAGUGUGUCAGAACCAUCACACUUCACAAAUACAUCAUAUAUGUAAUGGAGCAUAACUACUCUUCCUUACAUGCUUCUACAAUUUGAAUCGGCAUAUGGAACUUUGUCGUACUAUUUUACAAAAUUUUCUUUUGUUUUAUUAUACUUAUUUAUUGUUCAUCUCCAAACAACUACUCUGAACUCUAAACUUUUGUGGAGCUCUAAAUUGGGCGGGAAAACAGCAAGCACUUUUCUCAUUCAUUGAUUUGCAAAAAAACUCCUUUCUUUCAUUUUCCCACACAAUAACACAAGCACCACAAUGGUAAGAUCAAAGCUACAGGACCAUACCUUUUCUUCAGCUAGCUACUACAUUGAGCAUUCAACGUGAACUUGUGAUAAGCAAGCACAAAAUCAUGUAGACAAGAAACAGAAUUGUUGAGACUUUUUCAUGUACAGGCAUACAGGAAAUCAUAAAAAGUACUGAUGGUCUAUGUACGGGCAUCAGGCCAGCUGCUGGUUGGAAGUGUCAUUUCAUUUAGGAGGGUGCAUGCAGCCUCUUGGCCCUCGUGGCCGAGGGUAGAGAUGACAAUCUCAAGCCCCGUGGUGCCCUGGGAGCUCGCCCAGUGUAGGAGCGUGAGCAUCCACAAUUCCACAUCCAAGUGGUCGUAGAGCUUAACUCCCCUUUACCAGAAGAUCUAGUAAUUUCAAAUUACUAACAUAGAUCUAGUAAUUUCAGAAUUUUUGCAGCAUACGUGGAGCUUUUCUUCUGCCCGAGCAAUUCAGAAAAAAGCAGGCGGCUAUUUGUUGCUGUAGCACAUACACAUACAUUAUAUAUAGAGAGAGAGCUCGUUACUUUGUUAGGCAGAGAGAACGAGCGUGCCUAAUCUAGAACUGCAGGCGAACCUCGUACGGAUAAUGUUGUGGUCCUGCCAUAAGGUUGCUGCCCUACUGAACUCAAAAUAUUAUAAGAAUUUGAACCGAAUUAAAUUCGUUAAUUGAACUGAACUAAAAAUGUGUUUAGUAAAUGAGAGUUGAAUUGCUGGUCUUUUUUGUGUGCACUAAAGAACUAAUGCAUGGUCAUACAGGAAACAUACCAAAGAACUUGAUAUGUCUGGCAGUGCUCGUGGAGCACGGCGUCCUCGCUGGAGAAGCAGCCCGCCGACACCGACCACCCCACUUCCACCGCCGUCGAGUAGUAGGGCCACCACGGUGAGGAGGACGGCCCAGAUCCCUAGCUUGUGGACGGAGCGGUUGGGCGGCGGCGGUGCAGCCGUGGGACCUCGGGGAAGGGGUAGGCGGCCUAAUCUCGGGGAAGAAGACGACAGAGCGCGACGAGAAGGAAGGUGGCCGGCGCGUGGGGAGGGAGGCGCCCGUCGCGGGGAG